This 172-nucleotide non-coding RNA is filed under the name bovine gut metagenome. Its description in RNAcentral is "Lysine riboswitch". It matches the Rfam family "Lysine riboswitch aptamer". From Rfam's summary of the family: Riboswitches are metabolite binding domains within certain messenger RNAs that serve as precision sensors for their corresponding targets. Allosteric rearrangement of mRNA structure is mediated by ligand binding, and this results in modulation of gene expression. This family includes riboswitches that sense lysine in a number of genes involved in lysine metabolism, including lysC. The record is from RNAcentral.
GAGAUAGAGGCGCGCCUCGUCAUCAGUAUGCCGGUGGUUAUCAUACGGAGAUCCGGCGGAAAGGGACUGGCGCCGAAGCCGGGAAAAGAAGCGGCCGUAUCCGCGGACUUCCGGCUGGGCGGACGGAAUAAGAGCUGUCCGACUGUCGCAGGACAAUUGCGGAGCGCUAUCA